GGAGUUUGGUCCGUGUCUCAGUACCAAUGUGGGGGACCUUCCUCUCAGAACCCCUACUGAUCGUUGCCUUGGUGGGCCGUUACCCCGCCAACAAGCUAAUCAGACGCAUCCCCAUCCCUCAGCGAUAAAUCUUUACUCCUAAUUAGAUGUCUGCAAAGGAGACCAUAAGGUAUUAAUCCAUCUUUCGAUGGGCUAUCCCUUACUCAGGGGCAGGUUGGAUAC
This 222-nucleotide ribosomal RNA is filed under the name uncultured Prevotella sp. RNAcentral describes it as "partial 16S ribosomal RNA". Lineage: Bacteria; Pseudomonadati; Bacteroidota; Bacteroidia; Bacteroidales; Prevotellaceae. The record is from RNAcentral.